GAUGAACGCUGGCGGCGUGCCUAAUACAUGCAAGUCGAGCGAACGGACGAGAAGCUUGCUUCUCUGAUGUUAGCGGCGGACGGGUGAGUAACACGUGGAUAACCUACCUAUAAGACUGGGAUAACUUCGGGAAACCGGAGCUAAUACCGGAUAAUAUUUUGAACCGCAUGGUUCAAAAGUGUAAGACGGUCUUGCUGUCACUUAUAGAUGGAUCCGCGCUGCAUUAGCUAGUUGGUAAGGUAACGGCUUACCAAGGCAACGAUGCAUAGCCGACCUGAGAGGGUGAUAGGCCACACUGGAACUGAGACACGGACCAGACUCCUACGGGAGGCAGCAGUAGGGAAUCUUACGCAAUGGGCGAAAGCCUGACGGAGCAACGGCGAGUGAGUGAUGAAGGUCUUCGGAUCGUAAAACUCUGUUAUUAGGGAAGAACAUAUGUGUAAGUAACUGUGCACAUCUUGACGGUACCUAAUCAGAAAGCCACGGCUAACUACGUG
RNAcentral lists this ribosomal RNA (497 nucleotides) under uncultured bacterium. RNAcentral's name for it is "partial 16S ribosomal RNA". It matches the Rfam family "Bacterial small subunit ribosomal RNA", at positions 28 to 507 of the family's 1533-position model. The record is from RNAcentral.